RNAcentral lists this ribosomal RNA (216 nucleotides) under Escherichia coli. Its description in RNAcentral is "partial 16S ribosomal RNA". It matches the Rfam family "Bacterial small subunit ribosomal RNA", at positions 1 to 215 of the family's 1533-position model. Lineage: Bacteria; Pseudomonadati; Pseudomonadota; Gammaproteobacteria; Enterobacterales; Enterobacteriaceae. The record is from RNAcentral.
AAAUUGAAGAGUUUGAUCAUGGCUCAGAUUGAACGCUGGCGGCAGGCCUAACACAUGCAAGUCGAACGGUAACAGAAAGCAGCUUGCUGCUUUGCUGACGAGUGGCGGACGGGUGAGUAAUGUCUGGGAAACUGCCCGAUGGAGGGGGAUAACUACUGGAAACGGUAGCUAAUACCGCAUAACGUCGCAAGACCAAAGAGGGGGACCUUCGGGCCU